RNAcentral lists this long non-coding RNA (1075 nucleotides) under Ursus maritimus (polar bear). RNAcentral describes it as "lncRNA (ENSUMAG00000008196.1)". Lineage: Eukaryota; Metazoa; Chordata; Mammalia; Carnivora; Ursidae. The record is from RNAcentral.
GUAUUUUCUAAGAAGAGUGUUGCUUAAUGAUGGAAUAUUAGGCUAAGAGCUUUUACUGUGUUUCCCCAAAAGAUUAACCUCAUUGAAAUGAGGUCCUAAUUUUCCUAUUUGUUUCCAACAUUUAAUGCUACUAACUGAAACGUGCUUUUUUCAGGGACCCCUUUAAUGCUCAAACAUUACAUGAGCCCAUAGUGCCAGAUCAUACACCUUUGCUGUUGAUGCAGAGGGUAAUCUGAUUUUAUUGGUUUUGGAACUAAUCUUAGAGAUUGCCUUUUUAUCUUUUUGGUUAAUUUAGAUCAAUUUUCUGAGAAGAUUAAGAAUUGCAUGAAGGAAAAUGCAGAACUUGCAGAAAAAAUAACCAUUUUUGAACAGAAGGUAUAAUCAUCCCCCCCUUCUUUUUCAUUUUUAUGGUUUCACCUGGAGUGUCCACUUCCUGUUCACUGAUUUGGCCAGUUCCUCUUUCAUCCUGGUUUCCCCUUUCAUUCCAUUCUAUACGAGGCUGAAUUCAAAGCAAGUAUCACAUACGUAAAGUACUGCUUCCUUUAUUUCCAUAAUGACUUAACCAUGGCAGAUAGGUUUUGCUGUUACCAUAAUUAAGUUUUUGAAUUCUGAAUCCUCUCUUACAUAUUUGUAUAGAUCAAUGAAGCAAAGAAAUGUGCUCAAGAAACCUUGUGGCAAAAUAAGCUUCCCUCUUAUGAAGCCCACAGACUAAAGCUGAAAUCCUUUCCCAGGAGACAAUAUCCCGACAGUGGAGCAAUUCAGAUCAUUGUUUUUGUUGUUCAGCAUGGUUUGCAUUCUUCUCAACUCGUGCCUUUGAGGAAGCUGGGACUGAAAGAAUGUGAGCAGGGGAGAAACUGAAAUUGGCUGCAGGAGAGAGAGGAGCUGAACUCGCUUGUAGUUCCCUAACACCAGCAGCUCACAGAACACCUGAUGGCUUAUUUUGAAACUGUAUAAUGUUUAGACCCAACUCACACACAAAUAGACACCACUGUUCAGAGAUUUUAUGUACAAAAAAGUAUUUUCCAGGUGUUCAGGUGAAAAUAUUAAUUAAAAAAUAAAGAUUUCCUGAUCCCCA